GGGAGCGUAUCGGAUAUGGGCGUAAGCGCGCGCAGGCGGUCCUUUAAGUCUGAUGUGAAAGCCCACGGCUCAACCGUGGAGGGUCAUUGGAAACUGGGGGACUUGAGUGCAGAAGAGGAGAGCGGAAUUCCACGUGUAGCGGUGAAAUGCGUAGAGAUGUGGAGGAACACCAGUGGCGAAGGCGGCUCUCUGGUCUGUAACUGACGCUGAGGCGCGAAAGCGUGGGGAGCGAACAGGAUUAGAUACCCUGGUAGUCCACGCCGUAAACGAUGAGUGCUAAGUGUUAGAGGGUUUCCGCCCUUUAGUGCUGCAGCAAACGCAUUAAGCACUCCGCCUGGGGAGUACGGUCGCAAGACUGAAACUCAAAGGAAUUGACGGGGGCCCGCACAAGCGGUGGAGCAUGUGGUUUAAUUCGAAGCAACGCGAAGAACCUUACCAGGUCUUGACAUCCCGUGACAACUCUAGAGAUAGGGCUUUCCCCUUCGGGGAACACGGUGACAGGUGGUGCAUGGUUGUCGUCAGCUCGUGUCGUGAGAUGUUGGGUUAAGUCCCGCAACGAGCGCAACCCUUGAUCUUAGUUGCCAGCAUUCAGUUGGGCACUCUAAGGUGACUGCCGGUGACAAACCGGAGGAAGGUGGGGAUGACGUCAAAUCAUCAUGCCCCUUAUGACCUGGGCUACACACGUGCUACAAUGGAUGGUACAAAGGGCAGCGAAACCGCGAGGUUAAGCCAAUCCCAUAAAACCAUUCUCAGUUCGGAUUGCAGGCUGCAACUCGCCUGCAUGAAGCCGGAAUCGCUAGUAAUGCAAGUCGAGCGAACUUUUGGGAGCUUGCUCCCAAAAGUUAGCGGCGGACGGGUGAGUAACACGUGGGCAACCUGCCUAUAAGACUGGGAUAACUUCGGGAAACCGGAGCUAAUACCGGAUAACAUAUGAGACCACAUGGUCUCAUAUUGAAAGAUGGCUUUUAGCUAUCACUUAUAGAUGGGCCCGCGGCGCAUUAGCUAGUUGGUGAGGUAAUGGCUCACCAAGGCGACGAUGCGUAGCCGACCUGAGAGGGUGAUCGGCCACACUGGGACUGAGACACGGCCCAGACUCCUACGGGAGGCAGCAGUAGGGAAUCUUCCGCAAUGGACGAAAGUCUGACGGAGCAACGCCGCGUGAGCGAAGAAGGUCUUCGGAUCGUAAAGCUCUGUUGUUAGGGAAGAACAAGUACCGUUCGAAUAGGGCGGUACCUUGACGGUACCUAACCAGAAAGCCACGGCUAACUACGUGCCAGCAGCCGCGGUAAUACGUAGGUGGCAAGCGUUAUCCGGAAUUAUUGGGCGUAAAGCGCGCGCAGGCGGUCCUUUAAGUCUGAUGUGAAAGCCCACGGCUCAACCGUGGAGGGUCAUUGGAAACUGGGGGACUUGAGUGCAGAAGAGGAGAGCGGAAUUCCACGUGUAGCGGUGAAAUGCGUAGAGAUGUGGAGGAACACCAGUGGCGAAGGCGGCUCUCUGUCGUAACGACGCGAGCGAAAAGGGCAA
Molecule: ribosomal RNA, 1524 nt
Filed under: Bacillus sp. EK-11
Lineage: Bacteria; Bacillati; Bacillota; Bacilli; Caryophanales; Bacillaceae
Description: bacterial SSU rRNA
Rfam family: Bacterial small subunit ribosomal RNA (bases 1-930)
Source: RNAcentral